GGCCGAGAGAGCCAACCCUAUAGAUAGUUCCACAAAUUAUGUCGGCCAUAUGUCUUGAUAGCCAUACAGCACCCACCAACACAAGGGGUGGGCGUGGCAUACAUAGCCAACCGACCCUUUUAAUCUUAAAUUUAACCCCCUCCCGUUCCUCAUAUAGCCCACCCUCACCAGGCCUGGCUUCCUAUCUCGCGAUGUGGGACUAUCGUCCUCCACCCGCUUCUCUCAUCGUCGAUCUCGCGAGCUUCCUCGGCCGGGAGCACACCCAUGCCCAGCUAAUCAUCGGCGCGAGCAAGGGUUUCUUUGCGUCAGGGUUCACCUUGUGGGGGAAAAAGAUCGCAUCUUGCUUGGGAAUCGGAGUUUGCAACAGUAAUCGGCGGAUGACAUCCUUCAGAAAUAAGAUUACAGAACAGCACAUUAAGGCUGUCAGCGUCAACAACGAGUGUAGAAAACAAAGAAAAAUGCUCACAUACACAAAAAGCAUUUGCGAGUGCAGUCUUGUCAUCCUUUACGAGGCUACCGCCGGCGUUAGAAGCCGAGUUGCUUAUGCACAGAACAACAAGAUGUUGGAGAAGCCAAAGCCACCUCCGCCGACCAUCCUUUGCCUUGUGGAUAGAAUUCAAAGCAGAAGGUGCCGAUAAAAUCGAUGAUUGCCAAUAUAAAUUAUUUGUUUGCGUGAGGCAUUCUUCCCGUAUUAAUUCUUAGAUGUGGCUGAGCUGAUACAAUUCGAAACCUGGCUCUUUGUCUUCAAGCUUCUUUGCUAACUUCUCUUUGAGUUGGUCUACGAGGCUGACAAAUGCAGUGCGAAAUAAUGCAGGAAAAAUAAGAUAUUUUACGAGAA
Long non-coding RNA from Musa acuminata AAA Group (dessert banana), 838 nucleotides. RefSeq lists it as uncharacterized. The transcript is spliced from 2 exons. NCBI's taxonomy places the organism in Eukaryota, Viridiplantae, Streptophyta, Magnoliopsida, Zingiberales, Musaceae. The record is from RefSeq and is a predicted model, not a curated record.